GCCGAGAUGGCGGAACUGGCAGACGCGACGGUCUCAAAAACCGUUGAGGGCAACCUCGUGGGGGUUCGACUCCCCCUCUCGGCACCA
This 87-nucleotide transfer RNA is filed under the name Chloroflexota bacterium. RNAcentral's name for it is "Chloroflexi bacterium tRNA-Leu". It matches the Rfam family "tRNA". From Rfam's summary of the family: Transfer RNA (tRNA) molecules are approximately 80 nucleotides in length. Their secondary structure includes four short double-helical elements and three loops (D, anti-codon, and T loops). The record is from RNAcentral. Lineage: Bacteria; Bacillati; Chloroflexota. RNAcentral also lists the same sequence under 1 other name.